GGGUCGAUGCCCGAGUGGUUAAUGGGGACGGAACYGUWAAUUCGUUGGCAUAUAKGCCUACGCCUGGUUCAAAUCCAGCUCGGCCCA
RNAcentral lists this transfer RNA (87 nucleotides) under Ipomoea indica. RNAcentral's name for it is "tRNA-Tyr". It matches the Rfam family "tRNA". Rfam says of the family: Transfer RNA (tRNA) molecules are approximately 80 nucleotides in length. Their secondary structure includes four short double-helical elements and three loops (D, anti-codon, and T loops). Lineage: Eukaryota; Viridiplantae; Streptophyta; Magnoliopsida; Solanales; Convolvulaceae. The record is from RNAcentral.